Molecule: ribosomal RNA, 483 nt
Filed under: uncultured bacterium
Lineage: Bacteria
Description: SSU rRNA
Rfam family: Bacterial small subunit ribosomal RNA
Source: RNAcentral
AGAACGAACGCUGGCGGCAUGCCUAACACAUGCAAGUCGAACGCUUCCGGGGCUUCGGUCGCGGAGGAGUGGCGCACGGGUGAGUAGCGCGUGGGAACCUGCCCUGUUGUGGGGGAUAACCGAGGGAAACUUCGGCUAAUACCGCAUACGCCCCGGGACUUGGUCUUCGGAUUAGGUCUGGGGGGAAAGAUUGAUCGCAGCAGGAGGGGCCCGCGUCGGAUUAGCUGGUUGGUGGGGUAACGGCUCACCAAGGCGAUGAUCCGUAGCUGGUCUGAGAGGAUGAUCAGCCACACUGGGACUGAGACACGGCCCAGACUCCUACGGGAGGCAGCAGUGGGGAAUAUUGGACAAUGGGGGCAACCCUGAUCCAGCAAUGCCGCGUGAGUGAUGAAGGCCUUAGGGUUGUAAAGCUCUUUCGCCCGCGACGAUGAUGACGGUAGCGGGAGAAGAAGCCCCGGCUAACUUCGCGCCAGCAGCCGCGGU